UGGAAGGGUCAGAGGUUGGAUGGAGAGUUUUAAUUUCAAGCUAACUGGAUGGUUUUUCAGUUGUAAGUGUGGUUGGUAGAGAUCCCAGGUGGGAUUCAAAAGGAUGUAAUAGGGGAGAAGCAGGCUGUAGCAUCAAAGGUCAGGUCUCUGCUUCCCACAGCUGCUGUAGCUGUAUCUGCACUGGAGACUGCUGUGCUCUUGCUGCUGUUACUAUUGAGGACUAACGUGUGACGGAGAUGUACCCCAAACUGUCAUCCUAGGUGUCUGAGCCCAGCUGUAAAUUUGCAGGUAGCUGAACUUCUUGCAGGAGGAUACUGUGGAAGAUAGGUAUGUCUGGAUGAUCAGAGAGGAACAAAUCAUGAGUUUCUAGUGUCUGGAAUCCCUGUUUAUCUCUCAGAGACACUGUAAGCAUGAGAAAAUCUUGGUGAGUGAAAUUUUGAGCAGCUCAGACCUUGAUUACAGAUGGCAGAAGUGACAUUCUCUGCUGCCAUUGCCGGAAUGCACACCCUGUUAUCAGCAUGGUGCAAUGGGAGGUGAGCAGCAACUGCAGUUGAGGGGGAAGAUUCAUUUCUAACUUGCAGAUACGCACCGGGAACGCAGUUAUAAUUCUGUGUGGUUGGCUUCAUAGACUAGAGCUGCAGUGGUGGUAGCAAUCUUUGCUUCUGAGUCUUUGUACGAACUUUCUUCAGCCAUUAUCUAUUGGCUGAAGAAUAUAUAUAUAUUAACAUUAAUAUAUAACAAGAUGCUUCAAGUUGCUGCUUUCCUCUCUCCAGUCCCAGAUUGCAAGCUAUUUUAUUUAAUUCUGUUUUACUGUAAUAGUUUUAUUUAAGACUUUUAUUAUCUGCUCAGUGUUUCAUUGUGAGGGAAGUGGUGUUUAUCAUUCAGGAAUCAUGACCACAGUCAGGAGAUCUAUAUUCAGUUCAUGAUGUUUCCCCACACACUUUAUCUUAGGCUUUAACCCUGCAGAGUCUGAGUGCCUUGAGCUAAAGCCAGUUGGAGGUUGGUGUGAUCAGUAUCACGGACCGAAGGAGGACAGCAGAGGGCUUAUCUUCUUUAAUCUGCUAUCUCGUCAUAUCUCUUGCUUCAUUUAUAAAAUGAAGACUGUGUCAUAAAAGAUCCGUUAUCACUUGGCUUUAGGGUUGUUCAAGAUAUUCUGGUCUCAAUCAUCUUCUGUUGAAACCUUCAUACUUUCUGGGUUUGAUCCAAACCCAAUCAGGACAAAUCAGGACAAACUCUCUCAGGCUCUGGAGAGAGCCUGGGAAAGAUUAUUCUGUGCAAGUCUAGUGGCAAAGUUGUUCUUAGACUGCCUCAGAGCUAUGCUGUAUCUGGUCCUCCAGCCCCAGUGUGCUUGCAGCAUAGCCAGGCUCCCAUACUGACGAUAGGAGAUCCAUCCUUUGCAACUCGCACCUGUCUCCUCUUUUUUUGACUCCGUGGGCCAGGAUGUAGAUUUCACAUCCUACACCACAUUUUGCAACAGUAGUUUCCUCUUGUCUGAUACUGACUCCCGGCAAAAUAGCUUCUGCAUUCAUUUCAGCUGUCCUUGCAGAGCUGCCCACCCAGCAGAGGGGGCUGCCACCAGGUCAGCACACAGGGUGAGCCCAUACCAUGCACCCAAAGUGAGGCCAGCAACUUUGGUGUGAUGCUCUGGAACCCACCUCUCUUACUGCAGUGCCCUCUGCCCUGUGUGUCAGGACAGUGAUCCAGGGGGUGAGAGGUGGUGCCUGAGCUGCUGUGCCCCACAGUGGCUGCAGGGAGACCAAUGUGGCAUCAUUAGCACAAGUAUGAUGGUUGCUAUCUCAUCAGUCUAGCCAUUAGUAAACAACCCGAGUGUUACAUAGUCCUUCCAUAGUCUUUACAGAACCACUCAACUCAACUGCCCAGGAAGUGCUACAACUGCUAGCCAGGAGUGGCCAGAUACUGCCUUUGAGCACAUCUGGGUUUUGUUGUGCAAAGGGCUACUUCCCUCCCACUCACACCCUCAAACUCAGAAAAGGGAGAAGCCAACCAAGGGGGAAGGAGACAGAGCUCUGCCUCAUCUCAUUGGGCUGAUACAAACACUCCCUCUGCCCCCACCUGAUCUCUGUGACCUGCUGAUGCAGAAACAAAUUGUCAUUGGCAACAAACCAUACUGGCCUGAGAGCCACAGAUUAGCUUCUGAGAAAGCCUGACGUAACUUAUUACAGAGUCUAGAGGGAAGACACCCCCCAAACGCCUCCUCCCUCCCCUUGAAUCAAGGAUUUCAGUUUUCACGUAAUAGGUGGUAGCAGUGAACACAAUACACGUGCUUCAACAGGCACAUUUACAUGUGAGCCAGGUCUCAUCUCCAGGCUGCCUCUUUUUUAUUUCCCUUUUGGGAUUGUGCAUACGAAUAUCAGAGAUGCUGAACCAAUAGGAGCUGGAAAGCCUCAGCAUGCUUUUCAGCCCAUAUAUACUUUGGUUGCCACUGAAUAUUGCAUCAGAAAACUAUUUAAUGUUGGAGAAAGAAAGAGUACCCCUUCUCUGAUAUGAAUGAUAUAUUCCCAAGAGUCCAAAUUUGCUACCUUUGCUUAAGCUAAGCAAUACUCUCGUAUGUUAUCAAAGGCUGAAUACUGAUUUUUGCCAAACUGGUUUAAGUCCAACGUUUCCCACUGGCUUCGAGAAAGGCAAUCUGGAUUAACCUAAUUGACUGAGAGUUUCAAAGCUUCACGCUUGCAAAGCUAUUACAUUUAAUCUCAUCAGUAUGAACUGAACACACAUGCAGUGUAGGAACAGUAACAAAUGGGAGAAGACUGCCCUGAAAGCCCAGCAAGACCUGCCCUCAUCAGCCCAGGGCAUAUAAAUCACUUUCUUUUCCAGCUCAUUUAACCUUGGCCAGUGUCUUUAUACCUUGGUUUGCUUUGUUUCCAAAAAUAUGUCCGGUCCUCUCUUGAUGCAUGGCUAAGGAUCUCUUCUAUCACUGACUCUAUCAACUGAGUAGUAUCCCAGCCCCAGGUAAUUGUGUAAUUCUGUCUCAGUUUAAACAUAUUAUUCCCUAUUUGCUUUCAAAUGAGUUAUUUCAGAAACUGCGCUGGUGCAGUGAGGUUCCUUUGGCUUUCUGGUUUCUGCACGCUUCCCAAGUACUCUAACUUUUCACUAAUUUUUGUAUCUCCCUUCUGCUUCCUGCCAUCAGUGGUGGAGCUGCCAUUUGAGUCUGCCUGACAGAUAUGCAAGAGGGAAGGAGAGUUGCUCUUUAAUAUGAAAACCCAAAAGUUCGUUAUGAGUGGUGCCAAUGCAGAGGGGCUGAGGAGGUGCCUCAUGCUAUGGGAGAGGGGUACUUGUGGACUUUAAGUCAUGCCUUUGCUGUGCUCUUCAGUGGCAGCUGAGAGCUCCAAGGUGCUCAGGAGCGCCUGAAGUACACCUUAGGGGAACAGCAGCAGAGUGUGUGAAGGGGCUGAGACCAAAAGGGAUUUUGAGGCAAGCUGCUGGCAUAAGCUCACUGCAAGAACAGCUCAUCUGAGUGAGACAGGCUGGUCCAGGAAUAUUUCAAUGUAAAGGCUUAAAUAGACCAAUUACCAUUAAACCACAUUCUUGAAAAUUAAAUUGGGACACUCUAUAUAGUGACAUUACUUCCAAAAGGAGAUAACUUCUGUCAUGCUGAGUCUCAGAUUUGUGGUGACUGGUACACAGUGCUGCUGUCUCACCCCCUCAUGUGCAUGAGGGGAUAGCAGAGCAUGUGUACGUUCUUCCUGGUGCUUAUUCCUGUAUACCAAGUGUGAGAAGAUGCACCAAGUAGUACUAAUGUGUUUUAAAUGGAGCCCAGUGUACCUUAGGUGAUCAGCGCACAUAUUCCAGCACAGUGGGCUGUACAAAGUAGAUGGCAUCAUGUAGAGUGCAAUUAUGUAGAUUUUCCAUAAUGUAUUGCUGUUCCAGAAGACAUUGUACAAAUCACUGGAGUUUUUUUUCUGCAGAAAUGUCCAUUUUUUGUCAUGACUGCCAGCUUGCCAGACUGUUCUGUCAUCUGCUCAAAGCUUGUUAGGGCUUUGGAGCGCUGUGCAGGAAAAUCUCUUGGUGAGACGGGUGUUGUGAAUUACAGCCUUGACAACUAUGAGAGGGUGCGUGCUGAGGUGUAGCAUUAAUAUUCAUAUGGGAACAGAUGUCUUGGCUAUUAGCCAGGACACAACCUUGUUGUGUUAGAUGUUCCAGAAAAAGCUGUGGUCCCUGCCUCUAAGAAAUCACAGUCUCUAUAUUGCAAAUAAGGAGGAUCUGCUGGUUUUAUUCCUCAGAUAGAAAAGCAGCAUUCUCUGUGUCCAUGUUGUUGACAAUCCAACAGAAAGCAUAGAGAGCAGAAGCUUGACUCAUUGGCAUGGGUGCAAGAGCUGUUCUUUGAACCCACUGCACUCAUGGGAACAGUUUUCUUGGAGAGGUGAUUCAUCUCUGGGGAAGUCCAGGAUGAAGUCUGGACACUGCCUUCUCAAAAGGGACAGCUGCGAUCUCUUACGUGGGCUCCUCCCUGAUUGUCGUAGCACUAAAAUGACUUGCUGCUUCUGGGAAUGAGCUACGUGGUGCAGAUGUUGUGGACAUGCCUCUGUGCUGUCAGUGCUGAGUUACUAAAACUGGGCCCCUUAGAUGGAGGUCUUUCUCCGGUGAAGGCUUGCAGACAGUUUAAUGAGUCUUUCUCAGGAGACAAAAAAAUAUUGCAUGGGAAUUUCCAGAAAGAGCUAAGGUUUUUGUCUUUUGCACAUUUUUCCAGAAAUCAGGUGUACAUUUGAUCCACAUAGUUGAGGAGUGUACUGCAUGGUCCAGCCUUGGUUACACAAGGUGAUAGCACUUUUUGGUGCUAUUUUUUAAUAGAUUAAUCACUUCUCAUAUACAAGGCUGAUACAAAUGACCCAAUUUUGAGGGGGAAAUUACAGUAAUUCACUGAGAUUUUGGAGCAACCACUGGAAAACAUGUCACCAGCCCUGGACAGAGAACUUGAAAAAGAUGAGUCAGGAAGAAAAACUGCAGGUGGGGAGACAGAGGACAGUAUGUGAAGCCUGGGACCAAAAGGUUCUGCAGCAGAUUGUAGCAUGGAAGAGUCAACUUUCCAGUGAUGGACAGGCCCUGCAGGCUAGUUGAACUUUAGACAUCUUCUUUGGCUAAUGUGGUAAAGUUUGAGGGAUGGAAAGAGGGGAGAACAUAAGACAAAGAGUGGAAAAUUUAGAUGGGCGGUGUAGACAGGCAAAUGUCCAGCUAUCGGAAGGACAAAUAAUAAGAAAUCAGAAAGAAUAUAUCUUGAAAGAGCACAGAGAUUUGGGGAAACACAAAGACUUUUGAACGAUGCAACUCAGAGCAGUUUACAGAGCUCUAAGCACACAGAACCCAUCCUUGGCUGCAGAAAUUCUUAAUCUGGAGAUGGCUGGGGGGCUGGAGAACACUCAGGGGAAAAGCUGUAUGUGCUUACCCUGUGUUCAUACUUCUCCCCAGGCAUUUUGCUUUUGCCACUAUUGGAGACAGGAGUUAGAUGGACCUUUGGCCUGGCUCAGUGUGGUGACUGUCAUGUUCUUGUGCCCCUCGUGUUGUGAAAGAGUUGGAGUCCUUGUGGUGAGUCGUUCUUUAGCAGAAGCUGUAGGACAAACUGCACUUAGUACAGCGUGUUGCUGAGUCAGGCACAGGAGGGACCUUCCUGGCAUUCCUCAAUGCUUUGUGCAUUACAUACUGAACAUCUCAUGAAGAGAACACUCCAUAUAUCCCCCAAACACCUGGGCUCUUCACCAAGAUGGCUGUACAGAGGUUCGGCAGGUCGCUGCUAUGCCGCCAUCUCAUGCCCAGGCUUCAGCAGGAUGGCAGCACAGCUCUCCAUCUCACCGCUGCUGUUGCUGUUAGAGCUGAGCAACUGGGCUGCGUGGCUGCCUGGGGACUUCUCCUAGGGCACUGCCCUCACCCCUGGCCCACUGCAACCCUGGAGCCUCCGCGCUUUGGGCUGUCAGCCACAGCGUUCUUGUGAGACUGCUCUUGUCUCUGGGGCAGGGAGGCCUUGGUGGAGCUGUUGUUCCUCUCCCUUGGCUCGCAUCUUGGUGGCUGGCGACAUCUUGCUGAGCCCCUGCUCUAGCCGUUCUGGCUGCCUCGCUCCUCCCUGCUUCCUUGGGCUUGGUCUUCAUGACUCUCCAGAGGCUGUAAUUAUCUCCCAUGAGUAGUGCUGGAGCUAUCCUGUUUUGUCUACCAAGAAGGAUCUCAAUUUUUCCAAGAAUACUGUGGCACUUUUUAAAAAUAAUUGUCUCCUAAGGAGGUAACAGUACUGCUCACCUCCUUUCUGCUUUUCCUCAGAGAAAGGCUCUGUUUCCAUCUAUUAACAAGGAGGAAUAAGGGGAAUCUGCGUCCAGAGAAACUGGGAGGGCAAGGAGGGCAGAGCAGCAUUUGUACACAUAUACAGUAAUUUCUGCUUGGUGUGUGUAUACAUGUGCACGUGAGUGACAUUUAUCAACAGAACAUUUUUUCUAAGAUCAAUACUUUUCUCUGCUUGGGAGAAACAAGCCUUGCCAAUAACUGGAUUCAAUUCAUAAGAAACUAGGUGGAAAUAAUGAUGAGGAAAUGAGAAAAAUAAGCUUUUGAUGAAAUAAUUAAUGACUGGUUGUGACACAAUCUCACAGCAGCAAUCCAAGGCUCAGGGAGAUCAGAGGAGCCCAUCCGCUGCCAGACAAUGCUUACCAUGCAAAGCCAAGUAGCCUCCUGUUUGCAAUUUAAAAUCAUAACCAUAUACAUGGACUGCAGUUGGUGGCGGCUUGUUUGUUUUAAGUUCUCCUAACAAAGUAACAGCACUCCCUUCGUCUCAUCUGUAGGAGGGGAGACCAGUGGGUUCCAGGCAGCUUGUAGCGUGUAAGACAGGUCCAUCUCCAAGCAGCUAAAGCCAGGAGAUGAAUGUUUCAACAUGUGUGAAUUGUUCUAUUGCCACCAAACUGAACAGAGCUCAGCCGCUCACAGAUCUGGUCCAAAAAACUGAAACUAGUGAUUCUCAGCUCUGGAUGCCUGCAGAAGGGUAGGAUUUUGACUGUAAAAGGUGCAGAGGAAAAGCAAAACCCUUUAUCAGCAGGCUUGCAUGUGGUUUAAUGAAGUCCUCACCUCCUUAGCAAUAUCUUUUUAUGGACCCAUAAGAGGAUUAAGUUGAAAAAUACCUGGCCUAAAAUUAAUAGAUCUCAGAAGGCCAAGAGCUGACAUUGCUUACGCGUGUCACAAUGGAGCGGUGGAUGAGCUUGUGGUGGUGGGUUGGCUUGUUUCAGGAGUCAUCUUUAAAGUAAAUCUCCCUGUUGUCCUCCUCCCCCAAUUCUGCUGCACAGUAACGUGGUCUAUGCUGAGCAAACUGGAUUGCUCUGCCUAAAACCAGGUGCUCCAAACAGGCUCUGACUGCCAGUGGGUGGCUUCAGUGCACACAGCCAGGUACAGCUAGUCUGACACCCCCAAAAUAACAAUGAUGUGAAUACGAGGAUUCUCACACCAUGCAUUUCAUGUUAUUCUGCUCUGCACAGCAUUACCUGCCAGGGCUAGCAGGACUUUGCUGCCAUCCUUUGCUUGGCUCCUAGGAGGAGAUGAGCAGUUGGCUGGACACAGAGCUUCCCUGCCUGGGCUGCUCGGCACUGGUCCUGUCCCGAGCAGAUGAGUUUGGCAUGUUCCAAGGCAGAUGACCCUGGUUUACAUUUGCCAUGUCAAAGGCACUGCAUGCUACAGACAGAGCAGACCAAAACCAACAGAGUGCUUCGCAAAUAGUGAUGGAGAGCGAAAAUGCAAAAGAACAACUGCAGCAUCUAAAGGGAAGUUUUCCAAGCAUGGGAGUAAAAGGCAUACUGGAAAGAGAAGAGCCUUCGUGAGUAAAAGUUAAAGAAUGAUUCUAAAAUGGAUGUACUUUACUGAGAAAAGCAACUAAGACUUUAGGAAAUAAGUGGAUCAGAAAUGAACAUUGACUACAGCAGUGUGAUCUAUUGCUCUGACAUCUACUUGCCACAGGAGAAAGGUAAGAAUAAAGGAAUACCCAUAUUUUCCUAAGCGAACAUCUUUCAUGCUUGCGUGCUCAAGAAGAUAGAAGUGGAUGGGGCCAGCAACCUCUGCAAAGUGCCUGGGUUUAUGGAAACCACUGCAUUACUGCAUGGAUGGAUGCAGACUUAAUUCCACUGGCAAAUGCUUUGAAAAAGGCAGCCUCUGUAACACCUCCCAAAGAAGAAAAGACAGAGACAGACUGCGUGUCAUUCCUUCAUUCCUGCCUGCCCAUAUCAGCACUCACUGUGCCUAGAGAAAUGCACAGGAAUCACACAGUUCUAGGCAAAAUGCAUUUAUGUGAGCAUUUGUUCUUCUGUGCAGAACAAAGUACGUCUGCCCUGCAGCUAUCCUGAGGGGUAAGAAUGGCUCAGAGUAAGGAUUCUAUACUCCACUGUUAAUAUUUGUCAAACGUUGUAAGAUUCUCAAGUUAAAGUGAUGUAUGGACCACACCCACAAAUGCAUUAUGUUGAGUCGCACAUAGCUAUAGAUGUAUGUAGACAGAAAAAAAAUGCAGAUUGACCUUACUGAACUUUGUACAGUUCUGGACAAUGUUAAACUUUGUUAAACUUCAAAAUCACGUUUUAAUUCUUCAGGUCAGUGACCCAGCAGCAAGGCACACUGCGCCAGCACCAGAGAGUCACCAGAGCAGCUGUGAACUACCCCAGAAAGAAAGCGGUGGUGCAAGGUACUGUUGGUAAGGGAGAUGGCACUCCAUGUAAGGAAGUAUGCAUGUAUGAAACUUGGCCCAAAUAUGCUCCUUUACCUGAACACAUGGGAACUACAUCCUUCCUGUCCUCU
Non-coding RNA from Meleagris gallopavo (turkey), 8763 nucleotides. Lineage: Eukaryota; Metazoa; Chordata; Aves; Galliformes; Phasianidae. The record is from RefSeq and is a predicted model, not a curated record.